UCCAGCCUGCCCAGUGACAGAAUUUAACGGCCGCGGUACCCUAACCGUGCGAAGGUAGCAUAAUCACUUGUUCUUUAAAUGAGGACUUGUAUCAACGGCAUCACGAGGGUUAAACUGUCUCCUUUUUUCCAUCAGUGAAACUAAUCUCCCCGUGAAGAAGCGGGGAUGAUCUUAUAAGACGAGAAGACCCCAUGGAGCUUUAAACCCAACUACACUCCUCCUUAGCUUUACCUCUAAACUCCUAGGAUUUUGUAUGUUCUGGUUUUAGGUUGGGGUGACCGCGGAGUAUAAAUUAGCCUCCACAGUGAAUAGAUUUUUCUCUUUAUCCAAGACUAACACUUCUAAGAAUUAGCACUCUAACAUAAAAUGAUCCGAUAUUCGAUCAACGAACCAAGUUACCCUGGGGAUAACAGCGCAAUCCACUUCAAGAGCCCCUAUCGACAAGUGGGUUUACGACCUCGAUGUUGGAUCAGGGUAUCCUAGUGGUGCAGCAGCUACUAAAGGUUCGUUUGUUCAACGAUUAAA
Molecule: ribosomal RNA, 525 nt
Filed under: Guibemantis razoky
Lineage: Eukaryota; Metazoa; Chordata; Amphibia; Anura; Mantellidae
Description: partial 16S ribosomal RNA
Rfam family: Bacterial large subunit ribosomal RNA
Source: RNAcentral